RNAcentral lists this long non-coding RNA (334 nucleotides) under Elaeis guineensis (African oil palm). RNAcentral's name for it is "long non-coding RNA (EGUI_LNC080777)". The record is from RNAcentral. Lineage: Eukaryota; Viridiplantae; Streptophyta; Magnoliopsida; Arecales; Arecaceae.
GCUAUUUUUUUUUUAGUUUUUUGUUUUUCUUUGACUUGUUUUUCUUUCUUGAUUUCUUUAUUUUUCUUUCUUUUAUUUUCCUUUCCUAUUUGCUACCUUGAUUUUUCUUAAUGCCGCAUCACCCUCUCUUUCUGUUUUCUUAGGUACGACUCUUACUUUUCUAGAACUCUCAAUUCCUUCAUUUUUCCCCUCCCACCAUCAGCCUCCAUCACCUAUUGCUAGAAUCAUCUCUACUCACCAACCUUCAAAAACUUAAAGCAUUGUUAGAGCUUUUUUCCCCAAAUAAUUUUGCGGACAAGCAUGGAAAUUUCUUUAUUUUGAACCUUCUUAAUCU